CAGGACCUGUGAGGCAGGUGCAGCAUCACUGAGCUAAAUCCCCGGCCCUCCAAGGCAUGCAGAAUGCAAAAUUUGUGGCAUCAAGGAGUUUUCCACCCAGCUAUCAGAAGAAAUCCUGGAAAGUCAAAGAGUGUGCCCAUGAAAGGGUACUGUGUGAAGCUGUGAGGAUGAAGCCAAAAGUGCAGUGGUGACCCCAGGAAUUUGGAGGAGCCAGAAAUAUUGAACAUUUGAGUAGUGCCAUGGAUAGUGAGCAGAGCCAACCCAACAAAGAGGCCAUGAGAGCUGCAACUGGCAAUGCAAUAGGAGUAGGACCACCCAAGUCCUUUGAAGUUCACAUCUCACCACAACUUUCCCUGGGGACUCACAGCUAAGAGUUUGCCUUGGGUCUCAGAGGAGAACUUAAGACUUGGACUUUCCAGCAGUUCUGAACCAUUAAGACUUUGGUGACUCUUAGAGAUAGACUAAAUGUAUUUUGCACAAAGAGAUGCACAUGAGUCUUCUAGAUGUUGUGGCAAAAUUUUAUGGUUUAGAUCAAGAAUGAGUUCCAAAAAUCUCAUGCACUCAUAUGUAGGGCUUUGGAAGAUGAUUGGAUAUUCAGGAAGCUAUAGCUGACUUGCUCUUAGGAAGUGUGGCCCAAUUAGAGGCAGAUCAUGGGGUGGGACCUGGAAGGGUAUGUAUCCCUCCUUGGGUCCUCUCUUAUCUCUCUGCUUCCUUGCUACCAUGAUGUGAGCAGCUUUCCUGCAUAGCAAGUCCUUCUACCAUGUUGCUUCUGCCUUUGAGCCUGCCAAACAUAGACUGAAAAUGUAAGCUAAAAUAAACCUAUUCUCCUUUAAGUUGUGGGUGUUGAGUAUUAUGUCUCAGCAAUGAUAAAAUCACUAAGACUCCCACCAACAAGUUUUAUAUGUUUUUUUAAAACUAGAAUUAAAAAUUUAAAAAUAAGUCAAGUUCAUGCUGGAGUAGAGUAGACCUCUAAUUCAAUGUAACUGGUAUCGUAUCCAUACAAGAUAAUGACUACUGAAACAGCCCUGUGGCCCUGGUGGAAAAUACAGACCCAUGGGCUGGAGCCCAACCAACUCCACAACUGUGAAUUCCACACCUUGGCUCAGCCACCGUCAACUUGGAGCUGGCUCUGCAUUGUUUCCCCUCUGCAUGGUACAGCAGAAGUGCCUACCAAACAAUAGACCUGAUCUUGGACAAGGAAAAAGUCUGGAAUAGAGGAUUCAUCAUGGCUGACUAGGGGAGAAGUCACAUCACAGAAGUUGAGGAAAGAUCCAACAUGGCUGAGUAGAGAAGGAGCCAUGUUAGAGAGACUCAGGGAACAUUAACCAGAAACAAGGAAGAGGAGAAACUAUCAGAAAAGUAAAGGAACAUAAGAUACGGAUUAACCAAACACAAUGUGGUGAUCAUGUCUGAAUUGUGAUUUGAAGAUUCUAACCCAAAGAACACUUCAGAGACAACUGUAGAACAUUCUAUAAGGAAGAGAGAACUGCACUGGGGUGAAAGAAUCAGCAACCAUUGGAACCUGCAAGGGAAGUGUGGGAUACUGCUUUCAGAGUGGCCUUCCAUAGUCAACAUUUGAUAAGUGACCAUGGUCCGGGGUCCCCCGCCACAAUUGUGGAACAAGCGCUGGCAGGAAUGACAUUGUAGGGAAGGGCUCAGUGUUCAAACCCGAGUGCAAGAGCAGCCACACUCCAUGAUGUCACACUCCACAUUGUCAAGUUCCCAAAGUGGAUGAGGGGAGGAAAACCAUGGGAGUUGGAGAGCAGACUGGAGAGAGUCCUGCUGAGGGGCUGGAGCUGGUGAACACAGACCUAGCUCCUGAGGUCAGAGGCCAGGUUCAGCCUGAGUUACAUAGGAUUGGAAGGUCACAUUGGUGCCCUGUCCCCACUGUAUGCAGAUAUCUGCAUCCAGCACCAUUCUGGGGGCUGACUGCCACCUUAGACUUCCAGUGUGAGCAGAAAUAUGUCUUGGCUUGAGCUUGACUCUUUAUUAUUAGUCUGUGGAAAAGAGCCAUACAAUAGAAAACUUCUUUUUUUGCU
Heterocephalus glaber (naked mole-rat) is the source of this 2039-nucleotide non-coding RNA. The record is from RefSeq and is a predicted model, not a curated record. NCBI's taxonomy places the organism in Eukaryota, Metazoa, Chordata, Mammalia, Rodentia, Bathyergidae.